This is a transfer RNA of Aspergillus oryzae RIB40, 113 nucleotides long. It matches the Rfam family "tRNA". Rfam says of the family: Transfer RNA (tRNA) molecules are approximately 80 nucleotides in length. Their secondary structure includes four short double-helical elements and three loops (D, anti-codon, and T loops). The record is from Rfam. Lineage: Eukaryota; Fungi; Ascomycota; Eurotiomycetes; Eurotiales; Aspergillaceae.
GGUCCUAUGGGGUAGUGGUUAUCCCACCGGAUUUUGAUGAACAAUAUAUAUAGACAGAUAUAUAAGAGAAGUCAAAUCUUCCGGUAACGCCGGUUCGAAUCCGGCUAGGACCU